GAUGAACGCUGGCGGCGUGCCUAAUACAUGCAAGUCGAGCGAACAGAUACGUAGCUUGCUCCUUUGACGUUAGCGGCGGACGGGUGAGUAACACGUGGGUAACAUACUUCUAAGACUGGGAUAACUUCGGGAAACCGGAGCUAAUACCGGAUAACAUUUGGAACCGCAUGGUUCUAGAGUGAAAGAUGGUUUUUCUUUCACUGAUAGAUGGACCCGCGCCGUAUUAGCUAGUUGGUAAGGUAAUGGCUUACCAAGGCGGCGAUGAGUAGCCGACCUGAGAGGGUGGUCGGCCACACUGGAGCUGAGGCACGGCCCAGACGCCUACGGGAGGCGGCAGUAGGGAAUCUUAUGCCACGGGCGACGGCCUGCCGGAGCAACGCCGCGGGAGUGAUGAUGGGUUUCGGCUCGUAAAGCUCUGUUAUUAGGGGAGAACAAAUGUGUAAGUGACUGUGCACGUCUUGACGGUACCUAAUCAAAAAGCGACGGCUAACUACGUG
RNAcentral lists this ribosomal RNA (497 nucleotides) under uncultured bacterium. RNAcentral describes it as "partial 16S ribosomal RNA". It matches the Rfam family "Bacterial small subunit ribosomal RNA", at positions 28 to 507 of the family's 1533-position model. The record is from RNAcentral.